UCCUGGAUGGCUCAGCGGAUAAAGAAUCUGCCUGCAACACAGGAGACUCAGGUUCAAUCCCUGGGUCGGGAA
This is a non-coding RNA of Bos taurus (domestic cattle), 72 nucleotides long. NCBI's taxonomy places the organism in Eukaryota, Metazoa, Chordata, Mammalia, Artiodactyla, Bovidae. The record is from Rfam.